Molecule: long non-coding RNA, 2063 nt
Organism: Arvicola amphibius (Eurasian water vole)
Lineage: Eukaryota; Metazoa; Chordata; Mammalia; Rodentia; Cricetidae
Exons: 4
Source: RefSeq, a predicted model, not a curated record
CGGCGGGGCGAACGAGCGGGCCCGAGGCCCCGCGCAGCCCGCGAGCGAGCGCUCAGCACCUCUCCCUGAGGCCGCCGCCGCGUUCAGCUUCGCCGUGGUCGACGCCAGAGCAGGGUGCGGAACAGUGGGGGCCGUUCUGGGAGCCGCACCCGCGCCGGGACUCGGCCCCACCGCACCUGCCGCAGCUUCUCGGCUGCUACCGCCGCUCGGCUUCCAAGAUGGCCGCUCGAGGAGGGGGAGGUGGCCGGGGCGCCGCUUCCGCUUCCGGUGCGCCGUUUGCUAGGGGAAGCGCUUCUCUAGGCAGCUCGGUGAAGGGCUCUACUGUCCGUUCCCGGGUGUCCCGGGUGUCUCCUCUCAGUCUCGGAAAGGGGAACAGACUUCUGUCUUCAUUGGACACACAGGGACACUGAAGUCACAUAGUGCUGGAUCACCCGGAUCCUUGUCAUGGGGAACCCUACAAUGAUCUACCCUGCCUCCAGAACAAAUGCCAUACCCCAACAUCUGAAAGUAUGUGAUGCAUUUGCCUGGGAGAACACCUAUGCUCUCACAGAUUCAACAUUAGUGAGGGCUGGGAUGCCUGCUUUGCUAAAAUACUCAGUUGUAAGCCCCACUUCCAGCUGGACCGUGGGCUUCAUUUGCAGAAUCUGAGUCAUCUGGACAUCCAGUACAAAGUGGACUUCAGACUGGGAUCAGCCUAGUCCUCAGGGAGAAAAGGCAAGAUCAUCUCCUUGGAAGGAUUUCAGACCUUGGAGACUGGAAUCAAGGUCAUGGUUCACAACUACACACACCCUUCUAGAAUGCAGUGGCUUCGGUUUCUGACCAGGGACACAGAAUACCAUUGGAAUUUGAGAGGCAUGCCUGGUGGCCUGCUUCAGCAGCUUGUGACGGAGAUCUGCUCCAGCUAGAACCCGGCUCUGCAGCCACAAGUGACACCCAGCGUUGGGGUGAGCCUGUCAGGGCUCUGAGGCAGUGACUCCUAAUGGGCCCCGUCAGCAACCCCUCAGGUCACUGCUCCUACCCAGCCUACCAGCACCUGGAAACCCAACCCACUGGUUUUCUUUUAUCUCCCACUGCCCCAGGCCUUGUAGGCCAGAGAGGAUAAUGGGGUUGGGAGUUAGGCAUCAGUCUCCAAAGCACUACAGGAUGACCACUGGUGCCGUCCCUCCCAGGGUGUCUGUACAGAUUCUUCGCAGGAGCCAAGUCAUGUGGGGUGGACUAGCCAGUGUCCCUGGUGCUCUUCACAUUCCACUGUGGUACUGGAGCAGGGAGCAUGUAGCUCUGCAAGUCCCUGUGCUGUGCUGUGCUGUGCUGUGUUGUGCUGUGCUGUGCUCAGAGAGUAAGAGACCCAUGGAGCUAAGGCUAGAGCCAGAGCCGGAGGUGGGCGCACCCCCCCCACCCCCAGGGACACAUCCUGCAUCUCUUUUGCCAACACCCUUAUACCUCUGCCCCUACCCUAGAAGCAGUGUGGCCAAGGUGAACAUUCUCUUAUCAGGAGCUUAAAUACCAUAUUGAGGAUGAAGCAACAGUAUACUCAGAGUGGAUAGACACAGGAUGAGGGCUGGGUAGAGGCAGUCCCCUCCACAUUCCUGUGUAUAGGUGGGAUACAGGAGGCCCUGCUGGACUUACUGCCCAUCUGCCCACAGGUUCCACAGCCGUUGUGCCAUAGGCAGCCUGUGGAGACUGUGGUUCAGCUCAUCUGUCUCGUCCGUGCUGGAGCUGCUACUGGAUGUCUCUGCCCUUGCCCGGCUGCUACUGGGUUUUCACUGGCUCUGCUGGGGGAAGCUGUCCUAGCUGGGAGUCGAUACUGCUUCGGGGCAGUCCCACACCAUAUCAGAGGCCAGCCAGAGACCUCCACCCCAAGCUCCAGGGGAUGAUGCCAGAGGCCCAGAAGGAGAUAACCCCACAGAGGUGCUCUCGGGGUCUUUGGAGGAAGUUUCAGUGUAAGAAUUGGGCUAAAUUCCAGGCCCUUGAGAUUUUGUUUGUUUUUCGAGAGAGGGUUUCUCUGUAGCCCUGGCUAUCCUGAUACUUGCUCUGUAUAGACCAAGCUGGCCUCGAACCCUAGA